UAGGGAAUCUUCCACAAUGGACGCAAGUCUGAUGGAGCAACGCCGCGUGAGUGAAGAAGGCUUUCGGGUCGUAAAACUCUGUUAUUGAAGAAGAACGUGUGUGACAGUAACUGGUCAUGCAGUGACGGUAUUCAAUCAGAAAGUCACGGCUAACUACGUGCCAGCAGCCGCGGUAAUACGUAGGUGGCAAGCGUUGUCCGGAUUUAUUGGGCGUAAAGCGAGUGCAGGCGGUCUUUUAAGUCUGAUGUGAAAGCCUUCGGCUUAACCGAAGAAGAGCAUCGGAAACUGGGAGACUUGAGUGCAGAAGAGGAGAGUGGAACUCCAUGUGUAGCGGUGAAAUGCGUAGAUAUAUGGAAGAACACCAGUGGCGAAGGCGGCUCUCUGGUCUGUAACUGACGCUGAGGCUCGAAAGCGUGGGUAGCAAACAGGAUUAGAUACCCUG
RNAcentral lists this ribosomal RNA (442 nucleotides) under uncultured bacterium. RNAcentral describes it as "partial 16S ribosomal RNA". It matches the Rfam family "Bacterial small subunit ribosomal RNA", at positions 355 to 789 of the family's 1533-position model. The record is from RNAcentral.